This 266-nucleotide ribosomal RNA is filed under the name Cortinarius sp. PDD 107696. RNAcentral's name for it is "partial large subunit ribosomal RNA". It matches the Rfam family "Eukaryotic large subunit ribosomal RNA", at positions 419 to 675 of the family's 3401-position model. The record is from RNAcentral. Lineage: Eukaryota; Fungi; Basidiomycota; Agaricomycetes; Agaricales; Cortinariaceae.
ACGCUUGAAGUCAGUCAUGUCAGUCAGGGAUCAGCCUUGCUUUUGCUUGGUGUACUUCCUGGCUGAUGGGUCAGCAUCAAUUUUGACUAUUGGAAAAAGAUCAGGGGAAUGUGGCAUCUUCGGAUGUGUUAUAGCCCUUGGUUGUAUGCAAUGGUUGGGAUUGAGGAACUCAGCAUGCCGCAAGGCCGGGUUUUAACCACGAACAUGCUUAGGAUGCUGGCAAAAUGGCUUUAAUCGACCCGUCUUGAAACACGGACCAAGGAGUC